GAUGAACGCUGGCGGCGUGCUUAACACAUGCAAGUCGAACGGAAAGGCCUCUGCUUGCAGGGGUACUCGAGUGGCGAACGGGUGAGUAACACGUGGGUGAUCUGCCCUGCACUUCGGGAUAAGCCUGGGAAACUGGGUCUAAUACCGGAUAGGACAAUGGUUUGGAUGCUGUUGUGGAAAGUUUUUCGGUGUGGGAUGAGCUCGCGGCCUAUCAGCUUGUUGGUGGGGUAAUGGCCUACCAAGGCGUCGACGGGUAGCCGGCCUGAGGGGGUGUACGGCCACAGUGGGACUGAGAUACGGCCCAGACUCCUACGGGAGGCAGCAGUGGGGAAUAUUGCACAAUGGGCGCAAGCCUGAUGCAGCGACGCCGCGUGGGGGAUGACGGCCUUCGGGUUGUAAACUCCUUUCGCUAGGGACGAAGCGUUUUUGUGACGGUACCUGGAGAAGAAGCACCGGCUAACUACGUG
Molecule: ribosomal RNA, 467 nt
Filed under: uncultured bacterium
Lineage: Bacteria
Description: partial 16S ribosomal RNA
Rfam family: Bacterial small subunit ribosomal RNA
Source: RNAcentral